Long non-coding RNA from Oncorhynchus tshawytscha (Chinook salmon), 1249 nucleotides. The record is from Ensembl. NCBI's taxonomy places the organism in Eukaryota, Metazoa, Chordata, Actinopteri, Salmoniformes, Salmonidae.
CCUCUGCCUUGUGGGAUCCAAAAACAAAGUUCUGUGAGUUUGCUUCAUUUUUCCUGCUCUGGUCUCUGUAGUUACUGUCGCCAACCCCUUGCCUCCUGGACAGAUCUCCCGUCUCCUGAGAGGUCCCCACCAGAACGUCUUUAUAUGACAACUGCCCUACUGAUUGACUUGGACCUGAGGCAGGUUCUGUUCUGUUCUGAUCUUUUCUCUUAGAUGUCUUCUCAGGCACCUCCUGUGUUACUGAGGGAGCUGGACUAGUAGAUUGUUUUUGACUAGUGUUUGGCUCAUCUGUUGGGUCAGAACCCCUCUGAUCACCAAGGGAUACUUGGGAUUGGUCAACACACUUCUUUGAGUUUGCUUCAUUUGUUAUAUUCUCGUCGGUCUGGUUACUAGAGGUCUUCAGUUCAUUCAGAACUCUAACCUCUGUGUUGCCUUCACCAUCAAGGCUUUUUGAUGGCUCCGUUGACCCGUGUGACGUCCCCUUCAGGUCUUCCUCAUCCAAGAGUUUACUGGCUGGUUGAGUUGGGUCUGAGGCACGUCCUCCUGUGUUCUGAUCAGCUGUCUCGGGUGUGGAUGAGGCCUGUGUGACUGAUGUAGGACUAGGUUGGUUUGGCUCAUUCACUGGUGCGUCUACGUUUGCCUUCGAUGGACCCUUGGCCUGGUCUUCUGGCAGUGUCUGGUGUGGGGAUGGGUUUGGAGAGGCUAUAGGUAUGGUUGGAGGGCCAGUAGGUGUGGCGGUGAUGACAGGAGGGCCAGUAGGUGUGGCAAUGUUGACAGGAGGGCCAGUAGGUGUGGUGGUGUUGACAGGAGGGCCAGUAGGUGUGGCGGUGUUGACAGGAGGGCCAGUAGGUGUGGCGGUGUUGACAGGAGGGCCAGUAGGUGUGGCAGUGUUGACAGGAGGGCCAGUACGUGUAGUGGUGUUGACAGGAGGGUCAUCCACCACUGAAGUAGAGCUCUCACUGACAGACAACUCAUCUUUCUCUUGACGUGUGUCAGUGCUCAGCUCAAUAGCGCUGGAAGAGCCUCCACUCUAUGAACAAUGUAUACAAAAAUGAGGCCUUUUAACACAUAAAUCAUUAAGGAUCAGCAUUUCUGAUUCAUAAGCCCUGCCCAUUAAAGCGUUCCCAUUCCAUGCUAAUUUCACUGGGUUCCCUUGACUUAAAACCCACGUCUGGUCACAUCCUAACGUCACAAAUUGAAAGUGUGACUGGUUCUGUUUAAACAAAUAUAUAAUUGUAAAUCUCUUAUC